AGUUAACGUCGGCGGCGUGCCUAACACAUGCAAGUCGAACGCGUCCCCGCAAGGGGAGUGAGUGGCGAACGGGUGGAGUAACACGUGGGUAAUCUUCCUUCAAGUGGGGAAUAAGCUCUCGAAAGGGAGUCUAAUACCGCAUGACGUUCCGGGACAUAAGUCCCGUAAUUAAAGCCGCAAGGCGCUUGAAGAUGAGCCUGCGUCCUAUUAGCUAGUUGGUAGGGUAACGGCCUACCAAGGCUCAGAUGGGUAGCCGGCCUGAGAGGGUGAACGGCCACACUGGAACUGAGACACGGUCCAGACUCCUACGGGAGGCAGCAGUGAGGAAUUUUGCGCAAUGGGGGAAACCCUGACGCAGCCACGCCGCGUGAGUGAUGAAGGCCUUCGGGUCGUAAAACUCUGUCGGGAGGGACGAAGGGGAAACUCUGACGGUACCUCGCAAGAAAGCACCGGCUAACUCUGUGCCAGCAGCCGCGGUAAU
RNAcentral lists this ribosomal RNA (481 nucleotides) under uncultured bacterium. RNAcentral's name for it is "bacterial SSU rRNA". It matches the Rfam family "Bacterial small subunit ribosomal RNA", at positions 29 to 524 of the family's 1533-position model. The record is from RNAcentral.